Long non-coding RNA from Chenopodium quinoa (quinoa), 1304 nucleotides. RefSeq lists it as uncharacterized. The record is from RefSeq and is a predicted model, not a curated record. The transcript is spliced from 4 exons. NCBI's taxonomy places the organism in Eukaryota, Viridiplantae, Streptophyta, Magnoliopsida, Caryophyllales, Amaranthaceae.
UAGCUAGAUCUAUUGCGACGACUGCUUAAUACCUUCUCAAUAACAGGGUCUAAUGCAACGGAUAAGAGCUGGUCGUUGCAAUAGGGCUUUUUUUUUUCUUUUUUUGCAAUAGGGCUGUUUUAUACAAAACUCUUUACCUGGGCGCACUAAAAAAUCCCGCCUAAUUUUUCUCAAAAAUAAAAGUUUCACGCUUUUCUAAGAAAACCCGCCCUUCCUAUAAAAAAAACAAAAGAAAUCCGCCGAAUUUCCUUUUUUUUCUUUUUCAUGAAUAAUCAACAAGGCUACAAACCCGAUCCACCCAGCUUUCUCAAUCAAAUGGCUUUUUAUAAAAAAAAACCAAAACAGGUUCUUUUCUUCAAAUUUUCAAGUGGCAUCUUGAAUUUAAGGAGUGAGAUGUUAGAGGAAUGAUCUAGGAAUGGACCCCGCAAGCCGCAACCACCGCCAGCUAGCCAGAGUCGGAACUAAAUUGUCUGGUAGCCUUUCAUUUCAUUCUACUUAUCGUUGCCGCAGAUAAUAUGCUUGCUGAGGACGAUCUAUGUUUUUGAAUUUUGACGAGCGAUUUCUGUCUCCUUUGAUCUGACGGUGCCUCUUAUUACUUCCUGGUUUUCAGUUUUCCAAGUUGGGAUGACUUAUGUAUCAUGGAUUUGAUAUUAUAGUUGCUUACGUAGGCGUCCCAAUGAAGUCCUAGACCACACUUUGAAGCAAAAAGAGUGAGCUUUAAUUCUCGUAUGUUUAUAGAUUUAUUGCAAAGUUGUUUAUUUUUUUAUUGCUAUGUCUUAUUUGUUGGCAUGUUCUUUUCAAGGGGCAUUAUCUAGGGGCUCAUCCGUGGAGUGAAUGUCAGGAGGAUCAGCUAAUGUUGAUUAAUAUGAACUCAUUACUUGUCCUAAUAUUACUUCAAUUACCUCUUCUGGAGUUAAUGGACUGUGGUAUGUUUAUUUAUGAUCCUGACAUGGAUGAUGCUUCUAUAGAUGAAAGGAGUGAUAAGUGUUCACAGAAAAGUAGCAAGCUAAGCUGCAUCAUAUAUAUCCUGAAGCUUAUUAUCAAGCAGAAGAAACCUUACUUGUGGGGUUGUUCUGGCUUAGAUGGGAUUUAGAACCAUUGGAUAUGGUGUAAACAGUGCUACAGGUGGAAGAUGCUUCCAGAAUUGCUUUACUUGAGAAAUUUGAGAAGCAGGAGAAGAAAUGAUAAUGUGGUUCAAAGAAUUGCUGAAAAUAUUGUUUGGGGGACAAAAUGAUUUAAUUUUAACUUUUAAUUUUUUUUUCUUAAUUAGUUUAACUAGUGAUAAUUUAAUUUUGUAAUUUUCU